CCCUCCUCCCCUUCCACCCUCGAGCUACAACCACCCCCCUCCAGCCCUGCUUGUCCACGCCUUCCCUCAGGGUCCCUCCCUCUCCGCUUCCCCACGCCCCACUCCAGUCCCCUCCCCACCCAGUGGGGGCCGGCCUUAGGGGGGCGGGCUCCCAUCCGGCCUUCGCUGACCCUACCCGGCCCGGCCGCGCCCCUCCCCACCGGGAGAAGGUAUUUCUUGCCAUAAUUAAAGUCAUUAAGCCUCCAAAGCCUCCCGUCUGCUGCAGGUUCUGAGCUCCAGAAGGAAGAUGAUGCAUUUUAAGUCCUAGUUAAGAGUAUGCUGAUCUAUUUAGGAGGCAUGUAGCAGCGAGAAAUCAGCGGUUAAGUUAGUGGUUAAGGCUGCCUAAGUUUAAAUAGUGUUAUUUAUUCUCAAAAUAUGUAGCAGCCCCACUUAAUUUCUCCUAAUUAAAGGAACCGACAGAAGAGGCUGGAGUCCGUGGCCGUGUCACGGCGCCAUUGCACAGGAGGAAGAGAAUCUGGAUGAAAGUUUCUUGCAUGUCUGAGGCAGGCUUGCUCCUAACAUUUGUGGGACUUGGGACAAGAGCCUAUGAACCAUGAUAUAAAUUAUAUGCUACCCUUCUAUCUUUAUGUAUGCCUCCAUAAAGACCUGAAGGGUCACGUUCAACUGCGA
Molecule: long non-coding RNA, 669 nt
Organism: Mustela lutreola (European mink)
Lineage: Eukaryota; Metazoa; Chordata; Mammalia; Carnivora; Mustelidae
Exons: 2
Source: RefSeq, a predicted model, not a curated record